Molecule: long non-coding RNA, 863 nt
Organism: Cervus elaphus (red deer)
Lineage: Eukaryota; Metazoa; Chordata; Mammalia; Artiodactyla; Cervidae
Exons: 4
Source: RefSeq, a predicted model, not a curated record
UUUGGGAAGAGAAACUAGGGAGGGAAGGGCCUCCCUUAGGCCCCGUCAGGGAAUGGAUGAGGUGAGGGCUGAAGUUUUGCACUGAAGCUGACAAAGGUGUCCCUGAAGUGCCAGAGAUGGGAGGCCUCCUGCCUCGCCCAGCUCCUUCCUGAGCUCCCUGCAGCUCCUCUUUCAGCACAAGCCAGCCCACAAAGGUCAAAGGCGGAAUCUUACCCACUGGACCACCACUGGAUUCUUACCCAAUAUCAGACCACUGGACCAGUAUUGUUACAUCUUUGCCAUAUUUGCUUUACCUUUGUGGACAGAGGCUCGAAUGGACACAGGUGAGACCUCCGGCAGGUCCGUUCCCAGGGUAGCGUAUCCUGCAUCUCCUUGUUGCAGGCCGGCCAACUACCCAGUGUUACUGGUGCUGCUUCCUCGCCUGGUGAAAACAGUGACUGUCUUCUUCCCUAAAACCCUUUCCCCCAGUGGUUUUAGCAUCACUGAUGAUCCUUGCCUGGAUCAUUUAUUUUAUUAGCAGUGGCAAGGUGAUAAUGUGCCUCUGUCUCUCAUUCUGUCUACAUAUAUGACCGGCAUUCUUCUUUAAAGAGGAAGAACUUUUCUUCCUUGCUGCCCCACCCGGCCCAACCCUGUCUCACCUUAGGACUCACAGAUUAUUUCUUAUUCAAUAUGUUGGUAUUUCAAUAAGGUCGUUCUUUCAGAUACUCAAAUUGAUUCAGAUGAACAGGUCCAGUUCAAAUUAACAUGGGGGUUUUCUUACCUUCUUUUAUUUUACACUCACAUCUUUUUUUUUUUUUUCCUCUUAGGGUGAAAAUCUUGGUUCUUGUAAGAUGAAUAUAUUUAUUUAGUCAUUUGCAUUAUCU